This 179-nucleotide ribosomal RNA is filed under the name uncultured bacterium. RNAcentral's name for it is "partial 16S ribosomal RNA". It matches the Rfam family "Bacterial small subunit ribosomal RNA", at positions 1322 to 1500 of the family's 1533-position model. The record is from RNAcentral.
GAAGUCGGAAUUGCUAGUAAUCGCGGAUCAGCAUGCCGCGGUGAAUACGUUCCCGGGCCUUGUACACACCGCCCGUCACACCAUGGGAGUCGGUAACACCCGAAGCCUGUAGUCUAACCGCAAGGGGGACGCAGUCGAAGGUGGGAUUGAUGACUGGGGUGAAGUCGUAACAAGGUAAC